CGGACGGGUGAGUAACGCGUGGGGAACCUGCCCUGUACCGGGGGAUAGCAGCCGGAAACGGCUGAUAAUACCGCAUAAGCGCACGAAUGUCGCAUGACANUGGUGUGAAAAACUCCGGUGGUAUAGGAUGGACCCGCGUCUGAUUAGCCGGUUGGUGGGGUAAAAGCCUACCAAGACGAAGAAUCAGUAGCCGACGUUGUAGAGACUGACCGGCCACAUUGGGACUGAGACACGGCCCAGACUCCUACGGGAGGCAGCAGCC
RNAcentral lists this ribosomal RNA (262 nucleotides) under uncultured bacterium. Its description in RNAcentral is "partial 16S ribosomal RNA". It matches the Rfam family "Bacterial small subunit ribosomal RNA", at positions 99 to 355 of the family's 1533-position model. The record is from RNAcentral.